AUGAACAAGGCCAGAGACCAAAAUGGCUGCAGCAGUCCUUUUAAUGGCAGAGAGUCACCAGUGAGCAAUGGCUUCAUAGCUGGUGAUUCGGGAUUCCUGAGUACUGUUUGGGCUUCCAUACAGACGUCUGCUUCUGAGGAAAGCAUGGAAUGGGUUAAAGCCUGCCCGAACCAGCUUCUCCAAUUCACCAGGCACCUAAGAGACAUUGAUGAAAAAUUCCAGAAUUUCCGGGAACUUUUCCAAAGAGGUGGUUCCCCGUUUUCCGGCCCUGUCGACGUUAGAUUGACUGACUUGCUUCAGACGGUCUCAUCUUUUCUGGGCAAGUAUCCAGCCUUGAACUGCAGGGAGGCCAUUCAGCAAACCACGGCUGCCCUCAUCACCUGCAUCAAUGGUAAGUUUUCUCUCUCAACAGAGUCAAGUCAAACUGCGUAACACCGUCAAAGAAAUUUCGGAUGAUUGUUUGAGGAUGGUAUGAAAAUACAGGAUCCUGGCCUCCCCUAUUCCUUCAUGGGGUUAAUUUCGCAAGUUCAGCUUGCCAUGUCAUAGAAAUGAGAGCAGAGACAUUUCCCACAAUUAACUCUUCCAUACAUUUAUUCAUUCGUUUACAUUUGCAUUCCUGCAAUGAGUUUAAGCAGCUUAAAAUGUAUCUACACUGUAGAAUUAAUGCGGAUUGACACCACUUUAAUGGCCAGGGAUCAAUGUUAUGGAAUCUUCCAAGUUUUACAAGAUCUUUCGCCUUCUCUGCCCAAGAAUGCUGGUGUUUCACUACAAUUCCUAGAAUUCCAUAGCAUUGAGCCAUGUCAAUAGCAUAAAUUUUACAGCGCCCAGGCUUAACCCAUUAGGCUAAACUGCUAGCUGUAGAAAAAUCCUGCCGAUCUAAAAGUCAGCAGUUUGAGCCUGGGUUGGGAUGAGCAGCUGCCAUCAGCCCCAGCUCCCUGCCCAUCUAGCAGAUCAAAAGCAGAAAUGCAAGUAGAUAAAUAGGUACCACUAUUGGGAGGUAAUAAAAAAGGCACCCUUAAGGACAUCUAUCAGGAGAACAUCAAAGGACGGCAAAGCUCCUCGGCAUAAAAUAUGGACCCCCUCCACCCGCCCGUGGCUGGAAUUGAGCAGAGCCUCCAAGAUGCCAGAAAUAAGAUGAGAAAUGCCUUUACCUCUGUUUGCAUGUAUUGUCUGUCCUUGGUAAUUGUAUAACAACAUUGAAUGCUUGCCGUAUGUGUGUUCUGUAAUCCACCCUGAGUCCCCUCAGGGAGAUAGAGCAUAAUAUAAAGGAAGUAUAUAUUAGUGUCUUCUGCCAACCUAGCAGUUCGAAAACAUGCCAGUGUGAGUAGAUCAACAGGUACCGCUCCGGCGGGAAGGUAACGGCGCUCCAUGCAGUCAUGCCGGCCACAUGACCUUGGAGGUGUCUAUGGACAACCCUGGCUCUUCGGCUUAGAAAUAGAGAUGAGCACCAACCCCCAGAGUCAGACAUGACUGGACUUAACGCCAGGGGAAACCUUUACCUUUACCUUUUAUAUAUUAGUGUAGGUGCACACAUAUUUGGUUCCAUUAUAUAAAUAAGGUAAAGGUAAAGGUUUUCCCCUGACGAUAAGUCUAGUCAUGUCCGACUCUGGGGGUUGGUGUUCACCUCAAUUUCUAAGCCAAAGACGCCUUCAAGGUCAUGUGGCUGGCAUAUAAAUACACAUAUUAAAACGUAUUUCUACAAAAUACAUAUAUUAACAUACACAGAACAAUGAUUAAAAUAUAGUGGACUCAAGAUACAUGUUCAAAAUUUGAGAUUAAGUUCAUGAUCAAAUUGUUGACCCUUUGGUUUUCUCACUGAAAGCUCUUUAUAUGACUGCUUGGUUGUUAUUCAUUUUAUAUCUAUAUCUAUAAUUACCAUAACAUUUUAUUGAUGUCUAUUUUAGGGUUGAUUGAUUUUACUGUGAUAUUGUUUUAUGUUUUUAUAGCCAGUUUUAUUUUAUUACAGGUGCAUCUUGCAUUUCUGUUACAUGUUGUUCUAGGGAUUAAUCAUAAUAACAACCCAAAUGAAAUAAAAUAUAUUCAAAUACAAUUGAUUUAAGGAUAUCAAGACAAAAAAACCAAACAUGUUCCUCCCUUCCCCACCCCAAAAGUCAAUCAACCAGCAACAUCAUACUUGCAAGUUAGGUUAUGGGUCAGCGGCCUGUUUAAAUAAAAAAGUCUUUGUCUCAGAGUGGAAGAUUAUCAGAAACUUGGCUAGCUGGUAUGAUUGCUAGGUCAGGAUCAUCUCUGGCCCUGAGGUUUCCAAGACAAAACCCGAGACCUAAGGAUAGCCCUUUGUGACGUCAUUAAUCAUUGUCUACAACAUUUGCUCACAGCUUGUCAUUCAGGUGCACACACAUAAUGACCCAUACAGACAAAGAAACAGAUACACACAUGCAGAACAUAUUAAUCCUAUCUGGAAAUUAUGUAAGUCAGAAAUCUUAGCUAUAUGAACUAUUCCCA
Molecule: long non-coding RNA, 2463 nt
Filed under: Anolis carolinensis (green anole)
Lineage: Eukaryota; Metazoa; Chordata; Lepidosauria; Squamata; Anolidae
Description: lncRNA (ENSACAG00000044020.1)
Source: RNAcentral